UACGAAGGGGUCUAGCGUUGUUCGGAAUUACUGGGCGUAAAGCGCGCGUAGGCGGAUCGCUAAGUCAGGGGUGAAAUCCCAGGGCUCAACCCUGGAACUGCCUUUGAUACUGACGAUCUGGAGAUCGGGAGAGGUUGGUGGAAUUCCGAGUGUAGAGGUGAAAUUCGUAGAUAUUCGGAGGAACACCAGAAGCGAAGGCGGCCAACUGGCCCGAUACUGACGCUGAGGCGCGAAAGCGUGGGGAGCAAACAGG
This 253-nucleotide ribosomal RNA is filed under the name uncultured bacterium. RNAcentral describes it as "partial 16S ribosomal RNA". It matches the Rfam family "Bacterial small subunit ribosomal RNA", at positions 524 to 776 of the family's 1533-position model. The record is from RNAcentral.